UUCAAUUACAAUAAUCCUAAAAUUGCUGUUAUUGCUCAUUAAUGCAUUUGGUGUGAUGCUCCAUGCCAUGCUUAGCUCCUACAUUUGCCGUUGGAGUGCUUGGCCCCGUAAUUGCUGCUUGCAGCUAUAUUUAUUAUUCUUCUUCUUCUUCUUCUUCUUCCGCCGCAAGUCUAUGGCAGCCCAUAGAACCGUUUGCGGGAAAGUUGUAUAAUUUGGCACACUGAUAGAGGACAGUCCCAACAUUAACUAUAGCAAAUUUGAAGCCUCUAACUCCUACUCUCUAGCGCCACCACUUGUCCAAACUUUCAAUGUUUGUAUGCUAAUAACUUUUGAACCGUAAGCCAGAAAAUGGAAAUUCUUUUUUCCUCUGAAUCCUUGGCUCAGGCCAAGUCGAAUGAACCCUAAAAUUCAAAAAUCGCAAGGUUUAGUUUUUUCGCUAUUUUCAAUUAUUCGAAAAACCUACUUUUUCGAACUCGUCCUAGACGGUUAGUCCGAUUGCCACGAAAAUUGGCUCAGAUCAUCUUCAGACCAUGCUGGCAAAAAGUUAUGGAAUUCAAGUUGAUUCGUCCAACUGUUGUCGAAUGACACGUAAACAAAUUUGAAGAAAAGCACGCAAACAUGCACGUGAGGCUAUAUCCCGGCAACGGUUUGUCAUAUUGAGACCAAACUUGGCGUGUGUUAUAACAAGCAUGAACUGAGACUACCUGCAGUGUUUCGACACAGCGCCACCUAGUGGUCAGGAGAUAUGAAAAAUGCAUAUUUUGGCUUAUAACUACUGAAUGGUUUGGCCAAAAAUCACACAACUGGUCUCUUUAAAUUCAGUGAGUCAUGUCGAGUCGAAUGAUAUCCAAUUUUCCUGUGUCGGCCAUUUUAGGCGUCGGCCAUUUUGAAUUAUGUUUCAAAAUGCUGUAUUUUUUGAACGCAGCAUCGUAUCGUUUCGCAAAUAAUUACAAAAAUAUUCGGCUCCAUGCCCUGAAGGUACUCAAAAAGUUUGGUGGCAGCGCCACCUUGUGGCCAAUAGUUAUAAUGAAAUAUCACAUAAAUGCUAAUAACUUUUGAAUAAAUUAGUCUAUUAAAAUUAAAAUGAUCUCGCUAUAUUCUGUGGGUCAUGCCGAGAGUAUUGAUACCAAUAAUGUGAAAAUUGGCCUUACUUCCUGUCCGCCAUUUUGCUUAAUGUUGAAAACCUACUUUUUCGAACUCCUCCUAGACCGUUAGCCCAAUUUUCACCAAAUUUGACGUGCAUCAUCUUCAGACCAUGCUGGCAAAAAGUUAUGGAUUUUGUGUCGAUAUACGUAACGGUUCUCAUUUAGCGCAUCAACGAAUUUGCUGGAAGGGUGCCAAAAUGCAUUUGAGGCUGUAUCUCUGCAACACUUUGACAUAUUUGCACCAAACUUUGUAUGUGUCAUCGCCACCUCACACUGACCAUGCCACAUAAAUUUGGUAACAGCGCCACCUAUUGGUCAAGAGUAAUAAACCAUUCAUUAACCAUGAGUAAUUACACUUUUUAUAAUGCUAAUAACUUUUUAAUGCAUUAGCCUAUUUGAAGGUAACUGGGCUCAAAAUAUUCCCUGGCUUAUGCCAAUAACAUAGAUACCAAAUAUACCACAGUAAGCUGAACUUCCGGUCCGCCAUUUUGAUUUAUGUUGAAAACAUACUUUUUCGAACUCCUGAUCAACCGUAUGUCCGAUUUUCACCAAAUUCGAAUCAAAUGAUCUUCAGGCUAUACUGAUUCAAAGUUAUGGAUUUUGAGUCGAUAGACAAAACCGUUUUCGCAUACCACAUCGACGAAUUUGAGGCACAAUGAGAAAAUGACACUUGAGGCUGUAUCCCUGGAAUGCUUUGGCAUAUUGACACCAAACUUUGUGUGUGUCAUUGAAAAGUCACACAGAGUACACCAAAUUGAUUUUAUAACAGUGUCACCUAUUGGUCAAGCUUGAUAAACCAAGUAAUCAUGCUACUAGAGGUGGUAUUGGUGUUUUUUUUUUUUUUGCCAUUUCAAAUACAAUAAUUCCAAAAUUGCUGUUAUUGCUCAUUAAUGUAUUUGGUGUGAUGCUUUAUGCAAUGCUUAGCUACUACAUUUGUCGUUGGAGUGCUUGGCCCCGUAAUUGCUGCUUGCAGCUAUAUUUAGGGGCCAAGCACCGAAGGUGCGAAGGCACCUAUUGUGUUUGUUGGCGUUAUUAUUAGGGGCCAAGCACCGAAGGUGCG
Carassius gibelio (silver crucian carp) is the source of this 2205-nucleotide long non-coding RNA. RefSeq lists it as uncharacterized. The record is from RefSeq and is a predicted model, not a curated record. The transcript has 3 exons. NCBI's taxonomy places the organism in Eukaryota, Metazoa, Chordata, Actinopteri, Cypriniformes, Cyprinidae.